Molecule: ribosomal RNA, 468 nt
Filed under: uncultured bacterium
Lineage: Bacteria
Description: partial 16S ribosomal RNA
Rfam family: Bacterial small subunit ribosomal RNA
Source: RNAcentral
GACGAACGCUGGCGGCGUGCUUAACACAUGCAAGUCGAACGGAAAGGCCCUGCUUUUGUGGGGUGCUCGAGUGGCGAACGGGUGAGUAACACGUGAGUAACCUGCCCUUGACUUUGGGAUAACUUCAGGAAACUGGGGCUAAUACCGGAUAGGAGCUCCUGCUGCAUGGUGGGGGUUGGAAAGUUUCGGCGGUUGGGGAUGGACUGGCGGCUUAUCAGCUUGUUGGUGGGGUAGUGGCUUACCAAGGCUUUGACGGGUAGCCGGCCUGAGAGGGUGACCGGCCACAUUGGGACUGAGAUACGGCCCAGACGCCUACGGGAGGCAGCAGUGGGGAAUAUUGCACAAUGGGCGGAAGCCUGAUGCAGCAACGCCGCGUGCGGGAUGACGGCCUUCGCGUUGUAAACCGCUUUCGCCUGUGACGAAGCGUGAGUGACGGUAAUGGGUAAAGAAGCACCGGCUAACUACGUG